RNAcentral lists this ribosomal RNA (439 nucleotides) under uncultured bacterium. RNAcentral describes it as "partial 16S ribosomal RNA". It matches the Rfam family "Bacterial small subunit ribosomal RNA", at positions 339 to 795 of the family's 1533-position model. The record is from RNAcentral.
CUACGGGGUGCAGCAGUGAGGAAUAUUGCACAAUGGGGGGAACCCUGAUGCAGCAACGCCGCGUGGAGGAUGACGCAUUUCGGUGUGUAAACUCCUUUUAUAUGUCAAGAAAAUGACGGUAGCAUAUGAAUAAGCGCCGGCUAACUCCGUGCCAGCAGCCGCGGUAAUACGGAGGGCGCAAGCGUUACUCGGAAUCACUGGGCGUAAAGGACGCGUAGGCGGGUUGAAAAGUCAGGUGUGAAAGCCUACAGCUUAACUGUAGAACUGCACUUGAAACUCUCAAUCUAGAGUAUGGGAGGGGCAGAUGGAAUUAGUGGUGUAGGGGUAAAAUCCGUAGAUAUCACUAGGAAUACCUAAAGCGAAGGCGAUCUGCUGGAACAUUACUGACGCUAAGGCGUGAAAGCGUGGGGAGCAAACAGAAUUAGAUACCCUGGUAGUC